UCAGGCAACUAACUGAACGCGGAGAUGUCGGCGAGGGCUCUGGGAAGAGUUGUCUUUUCUUCUUGAUGGCCUAUCACCCUGAAAUCGGUUUGUCCAGAGCUAGGGGGUUCAAAUGGCCGGCAGAGCUCCGCACCUUUGUGGGGUUCAGUGCACUCACUCCUGACAAUUCUUGAAAAUCUGUGGGAAGG
This 188-nucleotide non-coding RNA is filed under the name Emergomyces pasteurianus Ep9510. Its description in RNAcentral is "Emergomyces pasteuriana Ep9510 Eukaryotic large subunit ribosomal RNA". It matches the Rfam family "Eukaryotic large subunit ribosomal RNA", at positions 1640 to 1823 of the family's 3401-position model. Lineage: Eukaryota; Fungi; Ascomycota; Eurotiomycetes; Onygenales; Ajellomycetaceae. The record is from Rfam by way of RNAcentral.